CUUCUCCAGAUUCAGUUGCAAGGUAGAUCUACAUUUUGCUUCUCAAUCAUUUUCUCUUCAAAUUCGUUAGAAUCAAUCCACCAUAUGUGAUGAGUGUUCAUGUUCGCUAAAGAUAGGUGUAGUUUAACGGGUAAGAGAGUGGGUUCCAACCGGAUAUGGUUUUUAGAUUUGACUGUAUGAUCUGAAUCUGGAUUUUGUACAGUGAUAGCAGCAUUGCAUCAAUGGCAUCUUUGCAGAAGUCAGCAGGAUGCUAUCAGGAGCAGCAGCAAUCAGCUCAAUCUGAUGAGCAAAGCCACCAGCAAAGUGAACAACACAAUGGCAACAACCUUAACAUGGUGAAUCAAACAUUCUCAUCCCAGGUUCCAAUCCAGCAGCAGUUUCAAGAAGGCAUGGCUUACACAUUCAUAGAUCAACAACAACAACAGCAGCAGCAACAGGUCCAUUUCAUAAAAUCGGGACCCAGUGGGCAGCUAAUGCAGUCAUACUACCACCAACCAGUUUACACUCAUCCACCAGUACCGCAACAGCAGCAGUAUUAUGUAGUGGCUGCUGGUUCCC
RNAcentral lists this long non-coding RNA (558 nucleotides) under Linum usitatissimum (flax). RNAcentral describes it as "long non-coding RNA (LUSI_LNC001853)". Lineage: Eukaryota; Viridiplantae; Streptophyta; Magnoliopsida; Malpighiales; Linaceae. The record is from RNAcentral.